RNAcentral lists this long non-coding RNA (663 nucleotides) under Homo sapiens (human). RNAcentral's name for it is "HSALNT0211836". Lineage: Eukaryota; Metazoa; Chordata; Mammalia; Primates; Hominidae. The record is from RNAcentral.
CUCUCAACUGCGUUCUCCUUUCUUCACAGAGGCUCAGAGAGAGGGGUUCAUUUGUGGAGUCCUUAACUAAUUGUGGCAUAAAUAUGCAACCACUUUUGGCUGAACAAAUUAUUGUCUUUAAAAUGAACUCCAGGUAAAUUUAAUUAGAGAAAAAAAGGUGAUUGACAGGUAUUACUCUGAAUGCAAUGAUUAAAAGUCCUACUGUUGUUAAAAGAAAAAGGCUGAGUCAGGAGUCAGCCAUAUUCUAGAUGUUUUCUUCUUGUGCCGGUGAGUUCAGACAUAAUACAGAUCAGAGGACCCAACUGAAGAAGCAAAACACAGAUUGACUUGAGGAUGCCUCAAGAGCUUUUAUUUUGAUCAUCACAGUUCAUCUGGUGCUGUUAUGGGAAGAUGGACAAAGAGAUCUUUGAGAUCAGGAAAAACACAGAUCAAAAAAAGAAAACCAAGAUGGGCUGUUGGCUGAGAAAUCAAGGUCUUUUUGGAGAAGUUGUAUCUCUAGUUGCUUGGAGAGGAGCAUGUGGUCUGUCUACUACUAUGCAGUGCCAAACGAUAGAUACGUUCCAAUAUGUAAGUAUUUUUUUUUUACUCCUACUAAUUUUUUUCCAAAAUAUCUUUUUCUAUUCUCACUAUAGUUUACUUAUCCCAAGUUAAUGGGAAGUUGAG